UACGUAGGCAGCAAGCGUUGUUCGGAGUUACUGGGCGUAAAGGGUGUGUAGGCGGUUAUUUAAGUUUGGUGUGAAAUCUCCCGGCUCAACCGGGAGGGUGCGCCGAAUACUGAAUGACUUGGAGUGCGGGAGAGGAAAGUGGAAUUCCUGGUGUAGCGGUGAAAUGCGUAGAUAUCAGGAGGAGCACCGGUGCUGUAGACGGCUUUCUGGACCGUAACUGAGGCUGAGACACGAAAGCGUGGGUAGCAAACAGG
This 254-nucleotide ribosomal RNA is filed under the name uncultured bacterium. RNAcentral describes it as "partial 16S ribosomal RNA". It matches the Rfam family "Bacterial small subunit ribosomal RNA", at positions 524 to 776 of the family's 1533-position model. The record is from RNAcentral.